Molecule: ribosomal RNA, 449 nt
Filed under: uncultured bacterium
Lineage: Bacteria
Description: partial 16S ribosomal RNA
Rfam family: Bacterial small subunit ribosomal RNA
Source: RNAcentral
AACGAACGCUGGCGGCAGGCCUAACACAUGCAAGUCGAGCGAGGACUUCGGUCCUAGCGGCGGACGGGUGAGUAACGCGUGGGAACGUGCCCUUUGCUACGGAAUAGCCCCGGGAAACUGGGAGUAAUACCGUAUGUGCCCGAGAGGGGAAAGAUUUAUCGGCAAAGGAUCGGCCCGCGUUGGGUUAGGCAGUUGGUGGGGUAAUGGCCUACCAAGCCGACGAUCCGUAGCUGGUUUGAGAGGAUGAUCAGCCACACUGGGACUGAGACACGGCCCAGACUCCUACGGGAGGCAGCAGUGGGGAAUCUUAGACAAUGGGGGAAACCCUGAUCUAGCCAUGCCGCGUGAGCGAUGAAGGCCUUAGGGUUGUAAAGCUCUUUCAGUGGGGAAGAUAAUGACGGUACCCACAGAAGAAGCCCCGGCUAACUCCGUGCCAGCCGCCGCCGUAA